ACGUAAUAGAUACCCGGGUAGUCCUGGCCGUAAACGAUGACCACUAGAUGCGGGAGGUAUCGACCCCUCCGUGUCGCAGCUCACGCGCUAAGUGGUCCGCCUGGGGAGGUACGGUCGCAAGACUAAAACUACAAGAAUUGACGGAGACCCGCACAAGCAGCGGAGCGUGUGGUUUAAUUACGAAGCAACGCGAAGCACCUUACCAGGGCGUUGACAUGCUCCUGCACCAGCGGUAACCCGCUGUCUCCCGCAAGGGAGCGGGAGCACAGGUGCUGCAUGGCUGUCGUCAGCUCGUGUCGUGAGAUGUUGGGUUUAAGUCCCGCAACGAGCGCAACCCCUACUGCUAGUUGAAUCUCUCUAGCGGAACUGCCGCACAAACGCGGAGGAAGGUGGGGAUGACGUCAAGUCAGCAUGG
RNAcentral lists this ribosomal RNA (415 nucleotides) under uncultured bacterium. Its description in RNAcentral is "bacterial SSU rRNA". It matches the Rfam family "Bacterial small subunit ribosomal RNA", at positions 773 to 1198 of the family's 1533-position model. The record is from RNAcentral.